UGGGGCGUGGCCAAGCUGGUAAGGCGCGGGACUUUGGAUCCCGUAUUCGAAGGUUCGAAUCCUUCCGCCCCAACCA
Molecule: transfer RNA, 76 nt
Filed under: Acidobacteriota bacterium
Lineage: Bacteria; Pseudomonadati; Acidobacteriota
Also listed under: 2 other names
Description: Acidobacteria bacterium (soil metagenome) tRNA-Gln
Rfam family: tRNA
About the family: Transfer RNA (tRNA) molecules are approximately 80 nucleotides in length. Their secondary structure includes four short double-helical elements and three loops (D, anti-codon, and T loops).
Source: RNAcentral